UCGCUCGUGUUUCGUCACAAGAACCGAGAUGGUUUUUCGCCUUUUACUAAAGACCACCGUGGGACGGAACAUUUAAUUGAGCUUUGAAUCAAUUUUUGAAAAGUCCGUUAAUUCGGAUUU
This 120-nucleotide small nuclear RNA is filed under the name Sarcoptes scabiei. Its description in RNAcentral is "U5 spliceosomal RNA". It matches the Rfam family "U5 spliceosomal RNA". From Rfam's summary of the family: U5 RNA is a component of both types of known spliceosome. The precise function of this molecule is unknown, though it is known that the 5' loop is required for splice site selection and p220 binding, and that both the 3' stem-loop and the Sm site are important for Sm protein binding and cap methylation. The record is from RNAcentral. Lineage: Eukaryota; Metazoa; Arthropoda; Arachnida; Sarcoptiformes; Sarcoptidae.